GAUGAACGCUGGCGGCGUGCCUAAUACAUGCAAGUCGAGCGAACGGACGAGAAGCUUGCUUCUCUGAUGUUAGCGGCGGACGGGUGAGUAACACGUGGAUAACCUACCUAUAAGACUGGGAUAACUUCGGGAAACCGGAGCUAAUACCGGAUAAUAUUUUGAACCGCAUGGUUCAAAAGUGAAAGACGGUCUUGCUGUCACUUAUAGAUGGAUCCGCGCUGCAUUAGCUAGUUGGUAAGGUAACGGCUUACCAAGGCAACGAUGCAUAGCCGACCUGAGAGGGUGAUCGGCCACACUGGAACUGAGACACGGUCCAGACUCCUACGGGAGGCAGCAGUAGGGAAUCUGCCGCAAUGGGCGAAAGCCUGACGGAGCAACGCCGCGUGAGUGAUGAAGGUCUUCGGAGCGGAAAACUCUGUUAUUAGGGAAGAACAUAUGUGUAAGUAACUGUGCACAUCUUGACGGUACCUAAUCAGAAAGCCACGGCUAACUACGUG
RNAcentral lists this ribosomal RNA (497 nucleotides) under uncultured bacterium. RNAcentral describes it as "partial 16S ribosomal RNA". It matches the Rfam family "Bacterial small subunit ribosomal RNA", at positions 28 to 507 of the family's 1533-position model. The record is from RNAcentral.